UAGUAUCGGCGAGCGAAGCGCGAAGAGCUCAAAUCUGAUAGCCGGCACCUCCCGGUGUCCAGUGUCGUAAUAUCGAGAAUAUGUUUUUCCGUGCGGCUGUAUGGACAAGUCCCUUGGAAUAGGGCAUUGUAGAGGGUGAGAAUACCGUACUUGCCAAGGAAGAACCGUGCUUUGCGAUACACCAAGUAAGAGUUGAGUUGCCUGGGAUGGCAGCUCAAAAUGGGUGGUAGACUCCUUCUUAAGCUUAAUAUUGGGGAGAGACCGAUAGCGACCAAGUACCGUGAGGGAAAGAUGAAAAGCACUUUGGAAAGAGAGUUAAAAGUACGUGAAAUUGUCGAAAGGGAAGCACUUGAAGUCAGCCAUGCCUCUUGAGAUUCAGCCCGGCCUUUGGGCUUGGUGUAUUUCUCGGUGGCAAGCCAGCAUUGGUUUGGGUUGUCGGAGAAGCGCAUAGGGAAAGUUGGGUUUCCGGACGUGUUAUAACCCUAUUCAGGAUACGCCGACCUGGAUCUCAGGAACGCAGUGUGCCCUCUGGGCGGGUC
RNAcentral lists this ribosomal RNA (539 nucleotides) under Malassezia globosa. Its description in RNAcentral is "LSU rRNA". It matches the Rfam family "Eukaryotic large subunit ribosomal RNA", at positions 81 to 619 of the family's 3401-position model. Lineage: Eukaryota; Fungi; Basidiomycota; Malasseziomycetes; Malasseziales; Malasseziaceae. The record is from RNAcentral.